RNAcentral lists this ribosomal RNA (1143 nucleotides) under human gut metagenome. RNAcentral describes it as "bacterial LSU rRNA". It matches the Rfam family "Bacterial large subunit ribosomal RNA", at positions 830 to 1999 of the family's 2925-position model. The record is from RNAcentral.
CAAUCGAACCCGGAGAUAGCUGGUUCUCCUCGAAAUAGCUUUAGGGCUAGCCUCGUUUUAGUCUUAUGGAGGUAGAGCACUGAAUUUCCGCGGGGGCGUCAAAGCUUACCAAAGAAUAUCAAACUCCGAAUGCCAUGUAGAUGAUGAACGGGAGUCAGACUGCACGAGAUAAGUUGGGUGGUCAAAAGGGAAAGAGCCCAGACCUACAGCUAAGGUCCCAAAGUGCGUGUUAAGUGGAAAAGGAUGUGGGAUUUCGAAGACAACUAGGAUGUUGGCUCAGAAGCAGCCAUACAUUCAAAGAGUGCGUAAUAGCUCACUAGUCGAGAGGUCCUGCGCCGAAAAUGUCCGGGGCUGAAACACGACACCGAAGCUUAGGAAUCGCAUAGUGAUUGGUAGAGGAGCAUUCUUAAAACCGACGAAGCUGUACCGGAAGGAGCAGUGGAGGGAUAAGAAGAGAGAAUGCCGGAAUGAGUAGCGAGAGGAAGGUGGGAAUCCUUCCGGCCGAAUAUCUAAGGUUUCCAGAGUAAAGCUGAUCUGCUCUGGGUAAGUCGGGGCCUAAGCACAGGUCGCAAGACGUAAGCGAUGGAUAACAGGUUUAGAUUCCUGUACCACGCAUUAUCAGAACUGUAGGGACGCAUGUGGAAAGCACGAGCCGGGAAUGGAAAGACCGGUACAAGCGGGGUAGGUGUACAAUAGGCAAAUCCGUUGUAUAAUCCGAAGACGUGAUGUGGAGCGAAAUAAAGUAGUGAAGCGUGUGAGCCAUGUGCCGAGAAAAGCUGCUAUUGUGUAAUGCGUGCCCGUACCGUAAACCGACACAGGUGGAUGAGGAGAGAAUCCUAAGGCCGACGGAAGAAGCAUUGUUAAGGAACUCGGCAAAAUGACCCCGUAACUUCGGGAGAAGGGGUGCCUGCGAGAGCAGGCCGCAGAGAAUAGGCUCAAGCAACUGUUUAGCAAAAACACAGGUCUAUGCGAAACCGAAAGGUGAGGUAUAUGGGCUGACGCCUGCCCGGUGCUGGAAGGUUAAGAGGAGAGGUUAGCGCAAGCGAAGCUUUGAAUUUAAGCCCCAGUAAACGGCGGCCGUAACUAUAACGGUCCUAAGGUAGCGAAAUUCCUUGUCGGGUAAGUUCCGACCCGCACGAAAGG